AUUAGGUUGGUGCAAAAGUAAUUUUGGGUUC
RNAcentral lists this non-coding RNA (31 nucleotides) under Homo sapiens (human). The record is from RNAcentral. Lineage: Eukaryota; Metazoa; Chordata; Mammalia; Primates; Hominidae.